Molecule: non-coding RNA, 190 nt
Filed under: Thermolongibacillus altinsuensis
Lineage: Bacteria; Bacillati; Bacillota; Bacilli; Caryophanales; Anoxybacillaceae
Description: Geobacillus sp. E265 6S / SsrS RNA
Rfam family: 6S / SsrS RNA
About the family: E. coli 6S RNA was the first non coding RNA to be sequenced, but its function was unknown until recently.
Source: Rfam by way of RNAcentral
UAAGUCCUGAUGUGUUCGUCGUAUAACCUAUUGUUUUGACCGAACAAUAUGUUAUACGGGAGCCCGGGUUUUCAGGUGGAGUACAUGCCUCGUUCACGAACAAGAGGACUUACGGAAGCUUGAAACAGGGCACCCACCUGUUGGAGAGCGGGUUCAAAACGAAGGCAUCGACGGCACGAUUGGGACUUUC